GCCUGGCUGGCUCACUCCAUAAAGUAUAUGACUCUUGAUCUCAGGGUCGUGAGUUCAAGUCCCACGCUGGGCA
RNAcentral lists this transfer RNA (73 nucleotides) under Canis lupus familiaris (dog). It matches the Rfam family "tRNA". Rfam says of the family: Transfer RNA (tRNA) molecules are approximately 80 nucleotides in length. Their secondary structure includes four short double-helical elements and three loops (D, anti-codon, and T loops). Further hydrogen bonds mediate the characteristic L-shaped molecular structure. tRNAs have two regions of fundamental functional importance: the anti-codon, which is responsible for specific mRNA codon recognition, and the 3' end, to which the tRNAs corresponding amino acid is attached (by aminoacyl-tRNA synthetases). tRNAs cope with the degeneracy of the genetic code in two manners: having more than one tRNA (with a specific anti-codon) for a particular amino acid; and 'wobble' base-pairing, i.e. permitting non-standard base-pairing at the 3rd anti-codon position. RNAcentral also lists the same sequence under 1 other name. The record is from Rfam by way of RNAcentral. Lineage: Eukaryota; Metazoa; Chordata; Mammalia; Carnivora; Canidae.